AACACAGGUCCAAGAAGGCCCAGCCUUUCCACCAGUCGAGCUCAAUCACGCCUCCUUCAAGCAACACAAUAAAGGGUGAUGUCAACAUGUUCGUGGCUUCAGUGUUCCACCAGUCACAUAACUCAUCUAGGCGCUGGUCGGGGACCACUUCCCGAGCACCUCGAAGCAGCAGUGCCCACCGAGGCCUAGAUCCACGCCGAAGGCUACAGCCGAGGUCCCAUACCAAUUCACCAUGGCCGAGGAGCGUCGGGAAAUCUGUGGACAGCGCUCGGGGAGGAGACAAAAGACACUCACACGUAGUGACACAAUCUUGAUUUUAAAGAAACAAAUAAAAAGAAAUCACCCACACAAAUUGUACUGGUAUAGAGGGUCCUUCAAUCACUGUGAUUUCAUUUAAAAGUACAAAUAAAGAGAAACACAGAGUGAAA
This 428-nucleotide long non-coding RNA is filed under the name Dermacentor andersoni. RNAcentral's name for it is "uncharacterized LOC126539547". Lineage: Eukaryota; Metazoa; Arthropoda; Arachnida; Ixodida; Ixodidae. The record is from RNAcentral.